RNAcentral lists this long non-coding RNA (2209 nucleotides) under Homo sapiens (human). Its description in RNAcentral is "HSALNT0375724". The record is from RNAcentral. Lineage: Eukaryota; Metazoa; Chordata; Mammalia; Primates; Hominidae.
GCAAUCCAACCGGGCCAGACUGCAGGCAGCUCCUCCUCACAUUAUUUAACACUGAGGAGUGCAGGAGAGUAACAUAGGCAGCUCUCUGCUGGCUAGAAGCCAAUGCACCAGAAGAUGCAGUGAAUGCUCAGUUGCAGCUGUUGUGUCUUGGAUCCACCACAGUUGGCUGAAACCGGCAGCUCAGGACAAGUGAACCAGCCAGCAGGACCCAGACCAUUUGACUCGGCUGAUCUUGUGACAAGACUGAGUUGCUGCUGAGUACAACAGCCCUGCUCUGGUCACUCCAGAGGCUGACCAGUCUACACACGGGUGAAGCUUGAGGAAACAACAAGCUCUGCUCUAGUCACACACCAGAAGCUGACUAGUCUAUGCACAGCUGAAGCUUGAGGACUUGUCAAGCAAGUAAAUGUAGUUAGAAAUCUUAGGACUAGUAGUUUUCCUGUAAUACUGUUUUACUAUUGUUCCGUCGCUGUGCUCAAUCUUCUUCCCCAGGUAAGGACCUCUUUUGUCCUUGCUGGAUAUGAAUAUGCUGUACAUUGCUUUGCUGUUGUUACCCCCCUUAACCAUGCUAGAAGAAUCACCCACAGAAGGGUGUCUCCACCGUACACAUACUACUUGGUCAGGGAACAGCAUAACUAAAACUCUAUUGUACCAUACUUAUUAUGGGUGUAUGGGGAAUCGCUUAGGAACUUGUACUUAUAGUCAAACCACCUACUCAGUUUGUGACCCAGGAAAUAACCAACUUUAUGUAUGUUAUGACCCCAAGUUUUCACCUGGUGAAUGGUUUGAAAUUCGUGCAGUCAAAAGAAGGUCUCCUCUUAAACCAAACCAGGGUCCCUCCCUUUUACUGAGGGACUAUUUCUCUGUAUUUUGAUGCUCGUUAGGUAGCAUACCAAGACUCACCCAUCUGUGGUAACCUACCUUUGGAAAGAUACUAUAGAAAUAACUACAAAUAUGUAUGCACGCCAAGAGCAACUCCACAUUGUUCCCCUGGGACCCCAGAGAAAGAUUGUUGGUAUUGCAUAUCAUGGCACCCUAGCCACAACAAAGGUCAAUUAUGCUUACCAAAAUGCUGGUGGACUGCAGGUUCCUCCUUACAUGUCUACAUACACACAUACCCAGCAACCUUCAUAUAUGUUAUCAAAAAGGGAACCCAGACCCGUCUGGCCCAGCAAGGCACAAAAAUGAGGAACGCUAUCUAUCAGAACAGAUUAGCUUUAGACUAUCUCCUAGCCCUAGAAGGAGUAGUAUGUGGAAAGUUCAAUUUAACAAAUUGCUGCCUGGAAAUCGAUGACAAUGGAAAGGCAAUUAUGGAAAUAACUGCAAGAAUGAGAAAAUUAGCCCAUGUUCCAGUUCAAACUUGGAAAGGGUGGUCUCCAGAUUCUCUCUUUGGAGGCUUGGUUUUUAUUUUUCUGAGGGUUCAAGACUUUAAUAGGAGUGGUUCUGGCCAUAUUAGGAAGUUGCCUAAUACUCCCUUGUCUCUUACCUCUCCUUGUUAGAAGCAUUCAAUCGAGUAUAGAGGCAAUAGUAGCUAGGCAAACUACCACUCAGCUAAUGGCUCUGCAUAAAUAUCAACCUUUGUCUAAAUAAGAAAACUCGUCCCUUCAGGCAGAACUAAGUAAUAGUGAUGCCUUCUAUUAAACUUCUUUUAUAAAAGGCAUCAAAGGGGGGAAACUGAGGCAGAAAUUUAAAAAUAAAUAUGCAUUCAUUCACUCCAAGAAAAGUAACAGAAAAGGCAAGGGUUAAAAAGAAAAGAACAAGUUUUCCUCUGCCUAGCAGAGGAAAGUGCAGCAAGCUCACUUCAAGGACAGUAAUAAGAUAAUACUGUUUGAGAAACCAAGGCCAAAGGAAUGGACUCCAGAUACCCCCCAACACCAGAGCAAGGUUGAAGGAAAAAAAAGAAAGACAAAUUCUUUUACUGUUACUCCUUUCCCAGUCUUCUUAAGCAUGAUUAUGUUUUACAAAUGUCUGUAUUUAGCCGGUUGUUGUUUUUCUUUCAAUGCAGCUACAAGGCCACCACCUAUGCAAGGCCACAAGUUAUGCUAUGCUAUAGAUUAUAUGACCUAUCAUUUGGUUAACUGCUUUUGUUUUAUUUAUUGUAAGUCCACUUAUAAAAACCCGAUUCUGUCUUUGUUUAAUGCUCAGCUUUGUGGAUGUGAGUCCGCUGAGCCAGUGUGUACCUAAAAUAAACAAUCCUCCUAUACUCUCA